AGUAGCGGUGAAAUGCGUAGAUAUCUGGAGGAAUACCAAAGGCGAAGGCAGUCCCCUGGUCCGAUACUGACACUGAGGUACGAAAGCGUGGGGAGCAAACAGGAUUAGAUACCCUGGUAGUCCACGCCCUAAACGAUGUCGAUUAGCCAUUGGAAGGACCCCUUUUCCUUUCAGUGACGUAGCUAACGCGUUAAAUCGACCGCCUGGGAAGUACGACCGCAAGGUUAAAACUCAAAGGAAUUGACGGGGACCUGAACAAGCGGUGAAUGAUGUGGAUUAAUUCGAUGCUACGCGAAGAACCUUACCUACCUUUGACAUGGCCAAAGUUCUACCGAGAGGCGGAAGUACUCGUAAGAGGAUUGGCGCACAGGUGCUGCAUGGUUGUCGUCAGUUCGUGUCGUGAGAUGUUGGGUUCAGUCCCGCAACCAACGCAACCCUUAUCUUUAAUUGCUCCUAUUUUAACAGGCACUUUAAAGAAACUGCCAAUGAUAAGUUGGAGGAAGGUGGGGAUCACGUCAAGUCCGCAUGGCCUUUAUAGGUAGGGCUUCACACGUCAUACAAUGGUUAGAACAAAGAGCUGCAAAUUCGUAAGAAGGAGCCAAUCUCACAAACCUAACCUCAGUUCGAAUUGCGGUCUGCAACUCGAGCGCAUGAAGCCGGAAUCGCUAGUAAUCGUGGAUCAGAAUGCCA
RNAcentral lists this ribosomal RNA (690 nucleotides) under uncultured Candidatus Tremblayella sp. RNAcentral's name for it is "bacterial SSU rRNA". It matches the Rfam family "Bacterial small subunit ribosomal RNA", at positions 674 to 1359 of the family's 1533-position model. The record is from RNAcentral. Lineage: Bacteria; Pseudomonadati; Pseudomonadota; Betaproteobacteria.